This 1384-nucleotide ribosomal RNA is filed under the name uncultured Sediminibacter sp. RNAcentral describes it as "bacterial SSU rRNA". It matches the Rfam family "Bacterial small subunit ribosomal RNA". Lineage: Bacteria; Pseudomonadati; Bacteroidota; Flavobacteriia; Flavobacteriales; Flavobacteriaceae. The record is from RNAcentral.
UGCAGUCGACGGUAACAGCACUUCGGUGGCUGACGAGUGGCGCACGGGUGCGUAACGCGUAUACAAUCUGCCUCCCACAGGGGAAUAGCCCAGAGAAAUUUGGAUUAAUGCCCCAUGGCAUAUAUUUUCGGCAUCGUUAAUAUAUUAAAGAUUCAUCGGUGGGAGAUGAGUAUGCGUUCUAUUAGCUAGUAGGUGCGGUAACGGCGCACCUAGGCGACGAUAGAUAGGGGCCCUGAGAGGGGGAUCCCCCACACUGGUACUGAGACACGGACCAGACUCCUACGGGGGGCAGCAGUGAGGAAUAUUGGACAAUGGGCGGGAGCCUGAUCCAGCCAUGCCGCGUGCAGGAAGACUGCCCUAUGGGUUGUAAACUGCUUUUAUACGGGAAGAAACACCCCCUCGUGAGGGGGCUUGACGGUACCGUAAGAAUAAGGAUCGGCUAACUCCGUGCCAGCAGCCGCGGUAAUACGGAGGAUCCAAGCGUUAUCCGGAAUCAUUGGGUUUAAAGGGUCCGUAAGUGGACGGUUAAGUCAGAGGUGAAAUCCUGCAGCUCAACUGUAGAAUUGCCUUUGAUACUGGUCGUCUUGAGUCAUUGUGAGGUGGUUGGAAUAUGUAGUGUAGCGGUGAAAUGCAUAGAUAUUACAUAGAACACCGAUUGCGAAGGCAGAUCACUAACGAUGUACUGACACUGAUGGACGAAAGCGUGGGGGAGCGAACAGGAUUAGAUACCCUGGUAGUCCACGCCGUAAACGAUGGUCACUAGCUGUCCGGACCUUGAGUCUGGGUGGCUAAGCGAAAGUGAUAAGUGACCCACCUGGGGGAGUACGUUCGCAAGAAUGAAACUCAAAGGAAUUGACGGGGGCCCGCACAGCGGGUGGAGCAUGCGGUUUAAUUCGAUAGAUACCGCGAGGAACCUUACCAGGGCUUAAAUGUAGUGGGACAGGUCUAGAGAUAGGCCCUUCUUCGGACUCAUUACAAGGUGCUGCAUGGUUGUCGUCAGCUCGUGCCGUGAGGUGUCAGGUUAAGUCCUAUAACGAGCGCAACCCCUGUUGUUAGUUGCCAGCGAGUGAUGUCGGGAACUCUAACAAGACUGCCGGUGCAAACCGUGAGGAAGGUGGGGAUGACGUCAAAUCAUCACGGCCCUUACGUCCUGGGCUACACACGUGCUACAAUGGCCGGUACAGAGAGCAGCCACACCGCGAGGUGGAGCGAAUCUACAAAACCGGUCACAGUUCGGAUCGGAGUCUGCAACUCGACUCCGUGAAGCUGGAAUCGCUAGUAAUCGCAUAUCAGCCAUGAUGCGGUGAAUACGUUCCCGGGCCUUGUACACACCGCCCGUCAAGCCAUGGAAGCUGGGAGUGCCUGAAGUCCGUCACCGCAAGGA